This 425-nucleotide ribosomal RNA is filed under the name uncultured bacterium. Its description in RNAcentral is "bacterial SSU rRNA". It matches the Rfam family "Bacterial small subunit ribosomal RNA", at positions 356 to 771 of the family's 1533-position model. The record is from RNAcentral.
GGGGAAUUGUUCGCAAUGGGCGCAAGCCUGACGACGCAACGCCGCGUGGAGGAUGAAGAUCUUCGGGUCGUAAACUCCUGUCGAGUGGGAAGAAUAGUUCCGGGGCUAAUAUCCCCGGAGCCUGACGGUACCACUAAAGGAAGCCCCGGCUAACUCCGUGCCAGCAGCCGCGGUAAUACGGGGGGGGGCAAGCGUUGUUCGGAAUUACUGGGCGUAAAGGGCUCGUAGGCGGCCAACUAAGUCGGAUGUGAAAUCCCCAGGCUCAACCUGGGAACUGCAUCCGAUACUGGAUGGCUUGAAUUCGGGAGAGGGAUGCAGAAUUCCAGGUGUAGCGGUGAAAUGCGUAGAUAUCUGGAGGAAUACCGGUGGCGAAGGCGGCAUCCUGGACCGACAUUGACGCUGAGGAGCGAAAGCUAGGGGAGCAA